This 482-nucleotide ribosomal RNA is filed under the name uncultured bacterium. RNAcentral describes it as "partial 16S ribosomal RNA". It matches the Rfam family "Bacterial small subunit ribosomal RNA", at positions 28 to 523 of the family's 1533-position model. The record is from RNAcentral.
GACGAACGCUGGCGGCGUGCUUAACACAUGCAAGUCGAACGAUGAAGAAGAGCUUGCUCUUCGGAUUAGUGGCGAACGGGUGAGUAACACGUGACUAGCCUGCCCCUUUCUCUGGGAUAACGCUCCGAAAGGAGUGCUAAUACCGGAUACUCACAUCGAGGCACAUGCCUUGAUGUGGAAAGUUUUUCGGAAAGGGAGGGAGUCGCGGCCUAUCAGCUUGUUGGUGAGGUAACGGCUCACCAAGGCGACGACGGGUAGCCGGCCUGAGAGGGCGACCGGCCACACUGGGACUGAGACACGGCCCAGACUCCUACGGGAGGCAGCAGUGGGGAAUAUUGCACAAUGGGCGAAAGCCUGAUGCAGCGACGCCGCGUGAGGGAUGAAGGUCUUCGGAUUGUAAACCUCUUUCAGUAGGGACGAAGCGAAAGUGACGGUACCUAAAGAAGAAGCACCGGCUAACUACGUGCCAGCCGCCGCCGUAA